RNAcentral lists this unclassified non-coding RNA (337 nucleotides) under soil metagenome. RNAcentral's name for it is "partial contains 5.8S ribosomal RNA, internal transcribed spacer 2, and large subunit ribosomal RNA". The stretch from base 1 to 120 matches the Rfam family "5.8S ribosomal RNA", at positions 35 to 154 of the family's 154-position model. The record is from RNAcentral.
GAUGAAGAACGUAGCGAAAUGCGAUAAGUAAUGUGAAUUGCAGAAUUCAGUGAAUCAUCGAGUUUUUGAACGCACAUUGCGCCCCUUGGUAUUCCAUGGGGCAUGCCUGUUCGAGCGUCAUUUGUACCUUCAAGCUCUGCUUGGUGUUGGGUGUUUGUCUCGCCUCUGCGUGUAGACUCGCCUCAAAACAAUUGGCAGCCGGCGUAUUGAUUUCGGAGCGCAGUACAUCUCGCGCUUUGCACUCAUAACGACGACGUCCAAAAGUACAUUUUUACACUCUUGACCUCGGAUCAGGUAGGGAUACCCGCUGAACUUAAGCAUAUCAAUAAGCGGAGGA